This 253-nucleotide ribosomal RNA is filed under the name uncultured bacterium. RNAcentral's name for it is "partial 16S ribosomal RNA". It matches the Rfam family "Bacterial small subunit ribosomal RNA", at positions 524 to 776 of the family's 1533-position model. The record is from RNAcentral.
UACGUAGGGACCGAGCGUUGUCCGGAAUCAUUGGGCGUAAAGCGCGUGUAGGCGGUCCGGUAAGUCCGCUGUGAAAGUCGAGGGCCCAACCCUCGAAUGCCGGUGGAUACUGUCGGGCUAGAGUACGGAAGAGGCGAGUGGAAUUCCUGGUGUAGCGGUGAAAUGCGCAGAUAUCAGGAGGAACACCAAUUGCGAAGGCAGCUCGCUGGGACGUUACUGACGCUGAGACGCGAAAGCGUGGGGAGCAAACAGG